This 253-nucleotide ribosomal RNA is filed under the name uncultured bacterium. RNAcentral's name for it is "partial 16S ribosomal RNA". It matches the Rfam family "Bacterial small subunit ribosomal RNA", at positions 524 to 776 of the family's 1533-position model. The record is from RNAcentral.
CACGUAGGGCGCAAGCGUUGUCCGGAAUUAUUGGGCGUAAAGAGCUCGUAGGCGGUCUGUUACGUCUGCUGUGAAAACCCGGGGCUUAACCCUGGGCUUGCAGUGGAUACGGGCAGACUAGAGGCAGGUAGGGGAGAAUGGAAUUCCUGGUGUAGCGGUGAAAUGCGCAGAUAUCAGGAGGAACACCGGUGGCGAAGGCGGGUCUCUGGGCCGGAACUGACGCUAAGGAGCGAAAGCGUGGGGAGCGAACAGG